GCUGGGAUAGCUCAGUUGGUAGAGCACACAACUCUUAAUCUCAGGGCUGUGGGUUUGAGCCCCACGUUGGACA
Molecule: non-coding RNA, 73 nt
Organism: Podarcis lilfordi (Lilford's wall lizard)
Lineage: Eukaryota; Metazoa; Chordata; Lepidosauria; Squamata; Lacertidae
Source: the annotation of a GenBank genome assembly